RNAcentral lists this ribosomal RNA (492 nucleotides) under uncultured bacterium. Its description in RNAcentral is "partial 16S ribosomal RNA". It matches the Rfam family "Bacterial small subunit ribosomal RNA", at positions 30 to 523 of the family's 1533-position model. The record is from RNAcentral.
AUUGAACGCUGGCGGCAUGCUUUACACAUGCAAGUCGAACGGUAACAGGUUAAGCUGACGAGUGGCGAACGGGUGAGUAAUGCAUCGGAACGUACCCAAUCGUGGGGGAUAACGCAGCGAAAGCUGCGCUAAUACCGCAUACGAUCUGAGGAUGAAAGCGGGGGACCGUAAGGCCUCGCGCGAUCGGAGCGGCCGAUGUCAGAUUAGGUAGUUGGUGGGGUAAAGGCUCACCAAGCCAACGAUCUGUAGCUGGUCUGAGAGGACGACCAGCCACACUGGGACUGAGACACGGCCCAGACUCCUACGGGAGGCAGCAGUGGGGAAUUUUGGACAAUGGCGAAAGCCUGAUCCAGCAAUGCCGCGUGCAGGAAGAAGGCCUUCGGGUUGUAAACUGCUUUUGUACGGAGCGAAAAGGCUCUCUCUAAUACAGGGGGCUCAUGACGGUACCGUAAGAAUAAGCACCGGCUAACUACGUGCCAGCCGCCGCUGUAA